UUGAUCCCAGGACCCUGGGAUCAUGGCCCGACUUGACGGCAGAGCUUCACCAACUCAGCUGCCCAGGCAUCUCCCACAAGUACAUUUAAAAUCAUACUUAAAAAAAAAAAAUGAAAUGCUUCCUGGAUUUAGACACUAGACAACGAGGUUGUAAUCAUUGGGAGUAUCAUUAAUGGACUUGAAUACAUUGGCCAUAAGGAUCUUCCUGAGGAAAGGUUCCCCAGCCAGAUUGCAAGGCUGGGGAUACCCAGCAUAGCCGUGGCCCAGGGGCUUCGGGGUGGGGGGCGGCGGCCGUGAGCCCGGGCCUGGGAUUCUGUCUGGGGAAUAGCCCAGCCUGUGCAGUGGCAACGGUGGGAAGUCUAGUGGACACCCGGACACCAGGCUCCAGACUGGGAGGCUCUCCCCACUGGGUCCUCACGUGCGUGUACGCAGCUCACGCACAUUUCCACAGACAAGCGUGUGACCCGCACUUGAACCCGACGGGAGGGCCUGGGGGUGGGGUGGCCUGAAAUGCAGCACGGGAGCAAUGAGGCGAGUUGGAGACUUGGGUCUCCAACCUGCCGAGACAGGAUGUUUUUCUUUUUCACAGAAGGUGAGAAGAGGGAUGGUGCCUGGCCAGCGAGGCGGUGGCACGCCGUGUGAGGAGCGGCACCCCAGGAGGAGUGUCUCUCACCUUGUCCGCCCUCGGCAGAUGUCAGGGAGGAGCUGCUGGUGCUCUGCAGGCCAUGUGCUGCUCAGAUAGUGACCCAGGGCUGGAGCCGGGGGACUUGAGGCUCGACUGCCUGGAAACACCUGUCCCACAGACGGAGGCUUUGGGGGGGCACCUAGGGAACCCAUCUGAAGUGAGUCAGGGACAGAGGGUGUGGAGGCUUGCUCAUCACUGGCCUCCACCUCCGAGGAGCCCUCUGGAGACACCCCGGGGCUGGGGCAGGUGCCUGCUCUGGCCUCGUUCUCUGCAUUCCUGACUGUGCUCCCCUCUGCCUGGAGGGCUCACAUCAGCCAGGCAGGGGGUUCAGAGGUGCGGGAUUCAGAGGGGCAGAGCCAGGCACUCCCUGGCCCGGCCUCCUCGGGCCCUGGCAUUCCUGGGAGCAGCCACCAGUGCCAGGGCCCGCGCACCCAGCCCCACACUCCUGAAGCAGUCCUGUGAGGGGGCAGCCGCAAGGACACCCGAGUUCCAGGCUCGUCUCCCCCAGGGAGUUUGGGGACUGCCUUGUGGACGCGGGAGCGGGCAUGUGGUUUGGGGGAACGCAUCCCGCUGACCUGUACCCGUGUCCCUCAGUUUCCCCACAGCGGAGCCGAUGUGCUUCUGAUUCCUUCUUCGCGAUUCUGAAGGCCCGUGGGAACUGUCAGUGCGUGUCUGACGUUGGCUGCGUGUCAAUUAACGGGGGUCAUGGGUUUUGGCAGGAGAGGCCGCGGGAGCUGGGCUGUCCUUGCAGGUGGUGCACACUCCAUCUGUCACCCCACUGGCCCCGGACCUGUGUCCAGUCCAUGUGACUCUGACUCGAGUCACAGGAAACGCUCAUUUCCACGCUGCUGGAUCACGUGUGGCAGCUGCUAAGGAAGCCACCUCUUCUCAUAAUUUUUGUUAAAAAAUAUUUUAUUUAUUUAUUUAUGAUAGAGAGAGAGAGAGAGAGGAGAGAGAGAGAGAGAGGCAGAGACACAGGAGGAGGGAGAAGCAGGCUCCAUGCCGGGAGCCCGACGUGGGACUUGAUCCUGGGACUCCAGGAUCAUGCCCUGGGCCAAAGGCAGGCGCUAAGCCACUGAGCCACCCAGGGAUCCCCCUCUUCUCAUAAUUUGGCAUAUGAGGAGCACAUACACUGCAUGUUUACCCAUCGACCCCAUGGAAAGCUGUCCUUCGGUGACAUGAAGGGCAUAUCGUAGCUCUCUGUGUGCAUGGCGUGUAAGUGCGUGUGUUUGCACACAAGGGACAGAAAACCAACAACACAUGAGCACUUGUCCAGUUGGGAUGCUCACCGCCCAGGUACAGCGCGUCCUCUCCGUGGCUGGUGUGCAGACAAGGAGCAUAGGCUUGCUGAGGGCUGAGGGGGCAAGCCCGAGCCCCUGUGCCCUGCUCUCCAUGUCCGUGGCCUGGGCUGGUGCCGCUGCUUCUCGCACACCCGCGGCUGAAGCACCCACCGCCCCGUCUGUGCCGUCUCCCAGCACUCAGCCCGGCCGUUGGGGACACAUGGCCCGUGUGCAGCCCCCUCCCCCUGCACUGUCCAUGGAGAGCUAGAGGCUCCCAAGCCGGGCAGGUUGGUGUUCCUUCCCCAGGUAAUCAGAGGUACAGAUAGAACAGAGCCUCUGGCUGACGGACGCCCGGUGGACAGGGCUGUUCAUUUAUGGGGUGCAGCAGGGCCGGCUGGGAAAUUUUGGUCACUUUAAUUUACCGUAUCCAGCCUGCCUGCUGCACGCGGCGGCACUUUUAUCAAGCCCUGUGAGGUGGUAUUGAUUUUUUUAUUUUCUAUGUAGGAUAAGAAGACAGAGAGUUAGGGCAGGAGUGAAUGAAGAACUUUCCUUGGAUGGCCGUGGCUCUGCACCUUAUUCCAUCCUGUCGUCUAUGCUUCAGAUGAAGUUGGGCGUCAAGGCUGCUGAGGGGACAGACAGGCUGCAGCACAGCAGCAGCGGGAAGGCCUGAGGCGGACGGGGCAGAGUCUGCACAUAGUGACUAUGCAGCAGGACAGUCACCACUUCUGCCUGGAGAUUUAUUUCCUGAAAUUAAGAAAUGAACAGACACAAAAUGACAACAAAACACGCAGGCUGCACACAACCCCUGUGUCCCUAGUGGCCCCCCCUUGAUACGCCCGAUGGAGACGGUUGCUUGCUCGAGCCUUCCUUCUUUGGAGCUGGGGAUGUGCUGAUGACGUGGGUGCUGUGAGGACAGAUAGCAGCACGGCUCUGACCUGGUGUGUGUGGCCUGACGGCGUCCUGCUCCCGCUUUCAGAGGCACGGUGAACCCCAGGACCAUACUCGUCCCUGAGGCAGCAGGUGCACUCUCUUGGCUCCCGUACCGUCGAGGAGUGAUAUGUGGCUUAGCACAGACAACGAGGCACACAUGUGGAAGAUGGGGCAGCGGGUCCUGUGAAAGUAGCCUCGGAGUCACCGCAGAGCCAUGUGGAAAGAGGGGCUGGGGGACUACAGGCGGGCGGAGGGCCGGGCACACCAUCCAGAGCAGGUGGGAGCCUGCUGCCCCUGGGGCAGUGCUCGGCCUCCUCCAGACACUUCAAAGACCCCCGUUCAGCAUGACCAGGAGGGAGACACUUCAGUCUGCUGGGUCAUGGAGUAACUUGAGAAACCAGACGAAGAGGGUGUUUGUGAACAUGGGCACACCCAUGUCUUCUCUCCAUGUCAAUAUCCUUUGUUUACACGACGGUGAUCAAAUCCCCCCUCACACAAAUCCAGAGCUGGUGCGUGAUGCCGGGUCCUCGUGCGCUCAGCUCAGGGACGAUGUCGCUCACUUACACAUGCAACCCAACCAAGCACUGGGUUUACUUUUACAACAUGAAUUGUGUGGUCAACAGCGGGGUGGUGCUUGGAUAGCACAGGUGCGUGCACAGUAAUCUGGGAGCUGAAUCCGUAGAGAUCUUUCAUUUCCUGGCCCCGCAGCUUCCGACUUCUGAUGGCCCCUCUUUCCGUUCUGACCCUCACCUGCACUCGUAGGUGGGGCGGCUGUUUGCAGAUGAGUCGUCCCCUGUGACUGUUCCAGAGCAGGUGCCUGGGGAAUAUCUACUGCUGAAUAACUGGUGUGUGUGUGUGUGUGUGUGUGUGUGUAAAUGAUAUGUAAGAUUGGAAUGUAAAAUUCCCUAAAAAAAAAAGGAUUUUGCUAAUGUAUGAAGUUGAAUCAGAAGAGGCAUGAACGAGACUUAGAAUUAGGCCUGAUGUUAAUAUCCUCGAGGCCAAACAUGGCCAUUCAUGCCAGGCAUCAUAUCCCCUUAGCAUCUGCAACUUUAAAUCUAAUAAUGUAACUUGAUGCUUUAAAGAAAAACACCUUUAACCUCAAGGCUCUUCUUCUUCCGUUAAAAUCAACAAAGGGAACCCAUUAUUGGCCGAGGACGACCUAGUGGUAACUUGCAGGAGGCGUCUAUGUCGAGAGAGGCCCAACAUGAUUGGAAUAAGGUUUCAGUGAAAUAAAAUUAAUAUGUGACUUUAAACAUGGGGUUUGCUAAAUGUGUCUAUUUUGCAAAGAGAUUGAUGCCUCUUCCCAUGAAACCAGGCCAAGUCUGCCUCACCCCGAUUCUACCUAACGCUGUAAGGGAGGCUUUCAUGGGCACUUAGUGGGCCUGGAUGCUUCCUUGCUCUCCAAUGCUUUCAAUGCGAGGGAUAACCGGUACCUGAGGCCUCCCCGCCUGUCGGAAAA
This is a long non-coding RNA of Canis lupus familiaris (dog), 4354 nucleotides long. RefSeq lists it as uncharacterized. The record is from RefSeq and is a predicted model, not a curated record. NCBI's taxonomy places the organism in Eukaryota, Metazoa, Chordata, Mammalia, Carnivora, Canidae. The transcript is spliced from 4 exons.